UAUCGGGUCCAUAUCGUUCGCUUAAAUCUCGACUUCAAACGAAUAAAUGCGAAGGCAUCCGAAAGCCGACCGCGCCAUGCCUCCGGGCGUUCAGCGGCUCGAGGGAUUUGGACCGGGGCUGUCGACUAAAAACUGCGUCUCCAGUAUAGCAAACCGUAGAAUAUACAAAUUUAUCUUGGUAACUCUGGUGGAAAUGAGACUUAUAGUCAUCUUCGAGUACAUAACAAAAAUUAAGUAUUGUUUAUGUCAACAAAGGAAGAAUCUUCGUUAAAUUGAUGACACGGUUUAUGAAGUUUUUUAAAUAAUAAUAAUAAUUUUAAUAAAGAGAUAUUGAACUGGAAUACUUUUAAAACAUUAUCUACAAACUGUGAUAUUUUAUAAAUAAAUUUGUCUUUAUAAUA
Aethina tumida (small hive beetle) is the source of this 401-nucleotide long non-coding RNA. RefSeq lists it as uncharacterized. The transcript has 2 exons. NCBI's taxonomy places the organism in Eukaryota, Metazoa, Arthropoda, Insecta, Coleoptera, Nitidulidae. The record is from RefSeq and is a predicted model, not a curated record.